This 301-nucleotide ribosomal RNA is filed under the name uncultured bacterium. Its description in RNAcentral is "partial 16S ribosomal RNA". It matches the Rfam family "Bacterial small subunit ribosomal RNA", at positions 509 to 809 of the family's 1533-position model. The record is from RNAcentral.
CAGUCGCCACGGUAAUACGUAGGGGGCCAGCGUUGUCCGAAGUUACUGGGCGUAAAGAGCGCGUAGGCGGGUCUUUAAGUGAGGGGUGAAAGGUUCGGGCUCAACCCGGACACUGCCUUUCAUACUGGGGACCUCGAGUGUGGGAGAGGCGAGUGGAAUUCUUGGUGUAGCAGUGAAAUGCGUAGAUAUCAAGAGGAACACCCAUGGCGAAGGCAGCUCGCUGGCCUAUAACUGACGCUGAGGCGCGAAAGCUGGGGGAGCAAACAGGAUUAGAUACCCCAGUAGUCCCUGUCUCUUAUAU